Molecule: ribosomal RNA, 427 nt
Filed under: uncultured Treponema sp.
Lineage: Bacteria; Pseudomonadati; Spirochaetota; Spirochaetia; Treponematales; Treponemataceae
Description: bacterial SSU rRNA
Rfam family: Bacterial small subunit ribosomal RNA
Source: RNAcentral
CUAAGAAUAUUCCGCAAUGGGGGGAACCCCGACGGAGCGACGCCGCGUGGACGACGAAGGCCGGAAGGUUGUAAAGUCCUUUUUUCCGCGAGGAAUAAGGCCGGGAGGGAAUGCCCGGCCGGUGACGGUAGCGGAGGAAUAAGCACCGGCUAAUUACGUGCCAGCAGCCGCGGUAACACGUAAGGUGCGAGCGUUGUUCGGAAUCAUUGGGCGUAAAGGGCAUGCAGGCGGCCGUGCAAGCCCGGCGUGAAAUGGCGGGGCCCAACCCCGUCACUGCGCUGGGAACUGCAUGGCUAGGGUCGCCGAGGGGCAGCCGGAAUUCCAGGUGUAGGGGUGAAAUCUGUAGAUAUCUGGAAGAACACCGAUGGCGAAGGCAGGCUGCCAGCGGACGACCGACGCUGAGGUGCGAAGGCGCGGGGAGCGAACA